This 370-nucleotide ribosomal RNA is filed under the name uncultured bacterium. RNAcentral describes it as "bacterial SSU rRNA". It matches the Rfam family "Bacterial small subunit ribosomal RNA", at positions 29 to 380 of the family's 1533-position model. The record is from RNAcentral.
AACGAACGCUGGCGGCGUGCCUCAUACAUGCAAGUCGUACGCGAAUCCUGCCGCAAGGCAGGGUUUGAGUGGCAAACGGGUGCGUAACACGUAGGUAAUCUUCCUUUGAGUUGGGGAGUAAACCCUCGAAAGGGGGUCUAAUACCGAAUAACACUUCUGGUUGGCAUCAACCGGAAAUUAAAGAUGGCCUCUGCUUGCAAGCUAUCGCUCGGAGAUGAGCCUGCGGCCGANAGUUUAGUUGGCGGGAUAAAAGCCCACCAAGACUUCGAUCGGUAGCCGGUCUGAGAGGAUGUCCGGCCACACUGGGACUGAGAUACGGCCCAGACUCCUACGGGAGGCAGCAGUAGGGAAUAUUGCGCAAUGGCCGCAA